UGAACCUGCGGAGGGAUCAUUACAAGUGACCCCGGUCUAACCACCGGGAUGUUCAUAACCCUUUGUUGUCCGACUCUGUUGCCUCCGGGGCGACCCUGCCUUCGGGCGGGGGCUCCGGGUGGACACUUCAAACUCUUGCGUAACUUUGCAGUCUGAGUAAACUUAAUUAAUAAAUUAAAACUUUUAACAACGGAUCUCUUGGUUCUGGCAUCGAUGAAGAACGCAGCGAAAUGCGAUAAGUAAUGUGAAUUGCAGAAUUCAGUGAAUCAUCGAAUCUUUGAACGCACAUUGCGCCCCCUGGUAUUCCGGGGGGCAUGCCUGUUCGAGCGUCAUUUCACCACUCAAGCCUCGCUUGGUAUUGGGCAACGCGGUCCGCCGCGUGCCUCAAAUCGACCGGCUGGGUCUUCUGUCCCCUAAGCGUUGUGGAAACUAUUCGCUAAAGGGUGUUCGGGAGGCUACGCCGUAAAACAACCCCAUUUCUAAGGUUGACCUCGGAUCAGGUAGGGAUACCCGCUGAACUUAAGCAUAUCAAUAAG
Molecule: ribosomal RNA, 536 nt
Filed under: Cladosporium cladosporioides
Lineage: Eukaryota; Fungi; Ascomycota; Dothideomycetes; Cladosporiales; Cladosporiaceae
Description: eukaryotic LSU rRNA
Rfam family: 5.8S ribosomal RNA (bases 179-332)
Source: RNAcentral